CAGCCUCCCAACCACUAGUAUUACCACACCCAGCACAGGUAAUGUUUUGAGCAAUUCAGAACUGACACAUAUAAACCUACAAUAAAUUAAGCUCUUAUUAUUUAUCAUCAAUUGAGUACCUACUGUUUGCCCUGAGCUAGGCAUUGUAGAAGUUUCCAAAGACUAAAUUAUAUGUGUAAUCUUACCCUCCAAAAACUUUGCUCCAUCUCCCACUGGGAGACCAUCCAAAGCACCUCCACUCUCAUUCUUGAUGUCUUUGUUACCUUUAAAAUCCACAGUCUUGCCAGCUCCCUUCCUCCAUGCUGAUUCUCAAUUUCUCAACCCUGAUGAGAGUCUGCAGUCUCUUUCCUGCCCAUCAUUUCACUCAGUUCCUCACUUUCCUCACUACCUGGUGUGUGUGUGUGUGUGUGUGUGUGUGUGUUGUGGUGUUGCUGCUCAAAUUCUCAUGGCUUGUGCCCAACUGCUGAACUAAACCCCCAACCUUUCAUUAUCCCCUUAGUUCUUUCAUUAUAACCACUCCUUACCUUUCUCUUUCUCAUUAGAAAGUCCUGAAAAAUGGUAAAGGCUAAUUGCCUG
This 576-nucleotide long non-coding RNA is filed under the name Marmota monax (woodchuck). Lineage: Eukaryota; Metazoa; Chordata; Mammalia; Rodentia; Sciuridae. The record is from RNAcentral.